RNAcentral lists this ribosomal RNA (482 nucleotides) under uncultured bacterium. RNAcentral describes it as "partial 16S ribosomal RNA". It matches the Rfam family "Bacterial small subunit ribosomal RNA", at positions 28 to 507 of the family's 1533-position model. The record is from RNAcentral.
GACGAACGCUGGCGGCGCGCUUAACACAUGCAAGUCGAGCGAUGAAAUCUUAACAGAACCCUUCGGGGUGAAGAUAAGACGGAUUAGCGGCGGACGGGUGAGUAACGCGUGAGUAACCUGCCUUUUACACAGGGAUAGCCUCAGGAAACCGGGAUUAAAACCUGAUGAAACUAUCAAAUCACAUGAUUAAGAAAGUUAAAACUCCGGUGGUAAAAGAUGGACUCGCGUCCCAUUAGCUAGUUGGUGAAGGUAACGGCCCACCAAGGCAACGAUGGGUAGCCGGCCUGAGAGGGUGAACGGCCACAUUGGAACUGAGAAACGGUCCAAACUCCUACGGGAGGCAGCAGUGGGGAAUAUUGCACAAUGGGGGAAACCCUGAUGCAGCGACGCCGCGUGAGCGAAGAAGGCCUUCGGGUCGUAAAGCUCUUUUAUAUGGGAAGAUAAUGACGGUACCAUAAGAAAAAGCCCCGGCUAACUACGUG